This 547-nucleotide ribosomal RNA is filed under the name uncultured Gigasporaceae. RNAcentral's name for it is "SSU rRNA". It matches the Rfam family "Eukaryotic small subunit ribosomal RNA", at positions 548 to 1098 of the family's 1831-position model. The record is from RNAcentral. Lineage: Eukaryota; Fungi; Glomeromycota; Glomeromycetes; Diversisporales; Gigasporaceae.
UUGGAGGGCAAGUCUGGUGCCAGCAGCCGCGGUAAUUCCAGCCCCAAUAGCGUAUAUUAAAGUUGUUGCAGUUAAAAAGCUCGUAGUUGAAUUUCGGGGUUCUACCGUUGGUCGGGCUAACCAGUCUGUACUAGCGUGUAAAAUUCCUACCUUCUGGAGAACCAUCAUGUUAUUAAUUUAGCGUGGUGGGAAACCAGGGCCUUUACCUUGAAAAAAUUAGAGUGUUCAAAGCAGGCUUACGUCUGAAUACAUUAGCAUGGAAUAAUAGAAUAGGACGGUGGUCCUGUUUUGUUGGUUUCUGAAUCACCGUAAUGAUUAAUAGGGAUAGUUGGGGGCAUUAGUAUUCAAUUGUCAGAGGUGAAAUUCUUGGAUUUAUUGAAGACUAACUUCUGCGAAAGCAUUUGCCAAGGAUGUUUUCAUUAAUCAAGAACGAAAGUUAGGGGAUCGAAGAUGAUCAGAUACCGUCGUAGUCUUAACCAUAAACUAUGCCGACUAGGGAUCGGACGAUGUUAAAUUUUAUUGACUCGUUCGGCACCUUACGGGAAAC